ACACGACUCUCGGCAACGGAUAUCUCGGCUCUCGCAUCGAUGAAGAACGUAGCGAAAUGCGAUACCUGGUGUGAAUUGCAGAAUCCCGCGAACCAUCGAGUCUUUGAGCGCAAGUUGCGCCCGAGCCAUUCGGCCGAGGGCACGCCUGCCUGGGCGUCAUGC
RNAcentral lists this ribosomal RNA (162 nucleotides) under Avena hirtula. RNAcentral describes it as "5.8S ribosomal RNA". It matches the Rfam family "5.8S ribosomal RNA". Rfam says of the family: 5.8S ribosomal RNA (5.8S rRNA) is a component of the large subunit of the eukaryotic ribosome. It is transcribed by RNA polymerase I as part of the 45S precursor that also contains 18S and 28S rRNA. Functionally, it is thought that 5.8S rRNA may be involved in ribosome translocation. The record is from RNAcentral. Lineage: Eukaryota; Viridiplantae; Streptophyta; Magnoliopsida; Poales; Poaceae.